Molecule: long non-coding RNA, 671 nt
Filed under: Mytilus galloprovincialis (Mediterranean mussel)
Lineage: Eukaryota; Metazoa; Mollusca; Bivalvia; Mytilida; Mytilidae
Source: RNAcentral
AAUCAUUUUGUUAUGGUGGUAAAUGUAACCCAUUUCACACGAGUCUUGAUUUACAUCUUGUGUUUCUCUCUAAUGUAAUUUUUAAGGUGACUUUAUACAACACUAACCUCCGAUACGUUCAUACUUUAAACCUUGUCUUACAAAAAAUGCUCAAACUCGAAAAACAACUAAAAUGGUGUAAGUAAAAAAUAAAAAAGUGACAGACUAGAUAUAGACACAGAAGAAAACAGCACCCCUUAUGAAAUUUUAAAUGUUGCUGCAGCAUUGCCGCAGCGUUGCGGCUUUAAAGCUGCAACCUAAUCAGGUUGCCAGAGGAUUGUUGCCGGAGUAGUGCCGGAUGAUGCUGCUAGCGGCAUUGUUCUGGCAUCAUUGCGACACUAAUUCCUUUCAAAGUUAAUGAGCACCACAAUAUAGCCAGAAAAUUUGAUGAUGUCAUUUCCUGCGUUUUUAGCUAUUCCCUGUACUAGUGUGUUAGAAAUCCACCAUGUUGCUUGUGAUUAUAAUUGUAUUGAAGAAUUUGGUGUUCUAGCUGUUUUUUUUUGGAAGAUUUGAAGACUUGUAAGUAAACUCAUAUCAAGUAAUUGCAUGUAUAGAAAAGAUCAAUCUUGCAUUGUGUAUUUCAAUAAAAUGGCCUCAUCUGAGUUCACUAUACAUGUAUCGGUGAAGUUUGU